RNAcentral lists this ribosomal RNA (492 nucleotides) under uncultured bacterium. Its description in RNAcentral is "partial 16S ribosomal RNA". It matches the Rfam family "Bacterial small subunit ribosomal RNA", at positions 29 to 507 of the family's 1533-position model. The record is from RNAcentral.
AGUGAACGCUGGCGGUAGGCCUAACACAUGCAAGUCGAACGGCAGCACAGUAAGAGCUUGCUCUUACGGGUGGCGAGUGGCGGACGGGUGAGGAAUACAUCGGAAUCUACUUUUUCGUGGGGGAUAAGGUAGGGAAACUUACGCUAAUACCGCAUACGACCUACGGUUGAAAGCAGGGGAUCUUCGGACCUUGCGCGAUUGAAUGAGCCGAUGUCGGAUUAGCUAGUUGGCGGGGUAAAGGCCCACCAAGGCGACGAUCCGUAGCUGGUCUGAGAGGAUGAUCAGCCACACUGGAACUGAGACACGGUCCAGACUCCUACGGGAGGCAGCAGUGGGGAAUAUUGGACAAUGGGCGCAAGCCUGAUCCAGCCAUACCGCGUGGGUGAAGAAGGCCUUCGGGUUGUAAAGCCCUUUUGUUGGGAAAGAAAAGCAGCAGGUUAAUACCCCGCUGUUCUGACGGUACCCAAAGAAUAAGCACCGGCUAACUUCGUG